CCUACGGGACGCACCAGUGGGGAAUAUUGCACAAUGGGCGCAAGCCUGAUGCAGCCAUGCCGCGUGUAUGAAGAAGGCCUUCGGGUUGUAAAGCACUUUCAGCGGGGAGGAAGGCGCUAAGGUUAAUAACCUUAGCGAUUGACGUUACCCGCAGAAGAAGCACCGCCUAACUCCGUGCCAGCAGCCGCGGUAAUACGGAGGGUGCAAGCGUUAAUCGGAAUUACUGGGCGUAAAGCGCACGCAGGCGGUCUGUCAAGUCGGAUGUGAAAUCCCCGGGCUCAGCCUGGGAACUGCAUUCGAAACUGGCAGGCUGGAGUCUUGUAGAGGGGGGUAGAAUUCCAGGUGUAGCGGUGAAAUGCGUAGAGAUCUGAAGGAAUACCAGUGGCGAAGGCGGCCCCCUGGACAAAGACUGACGCUCAGAUGCGAAAGCGUGGGGAGCAAACAGGAUUAGAUACCCCUGUAGUC
This 465-nucleotide ribosomal RNA is filed under the name uncultured bacterium. Its description in RNAcentral is "bacterial SSU rRNA". It matches the Rfam family "Bacterial small subunit ribosomal RNA", at positions 338 to 795 of the family's 1533-position model. The record is from RNAcentral.